This is a non-coding RNA of Borealophlyctis nickersoniae, 72 nucleotides long. Lineage: Eukaryota; Fungi; Chytridiomycota; Chytridiomycetes; Rhizophlyctidales; Borealophlyctidaceae. The record is from the annotation of a GenBank genome assembly.
GGAGUGUUAGCUCAGUGGUAGAGCAAUCGACUGCAGAUCGAUAGGUCUCCGGUUCAAUCCCGGAACGCUCCU